CCUACGGGAGGCAGCAGUGGGGAAUAUUGGGCAAUGGAGGCAACUCUGACCCAGCCAUGCCGCGUGAGUGAAGAAGGUUUUCGGUUUGUAAAGCUCUUUCAGAAGGGAAGAUGAUGACGGUAGCAUCCUAAGAAGCCCCGGCUAACUUCGUGCCAGCAGCCGCGGUAAUACGAAGGGGGCAAGCGUUGUUCGGAAUUACUGGGCGUAAAGGGAGUGUAGGCGGUAUAGUAAGAUAGUGGUGAAAUCCCAGAGCUGAACUUUGGAAUUGCCAUUGUAACUGUUAGACUAGAAUUACAGAGAGGACAGUGGAAUACCUAGUGUAGCGGUGAAAUGCGUAGAUAUUGGGUAGAACACCAGUGGCGAAGGCGACUAUCUGGAUGUACAUUGACGCUGAAGCUCGAAAGCAUGGGGAUCAAACAGGAUUAGAUACCCGGGUAGUC
Molecule: ribosomal RNA, 440 nt
Filed under: uncultured bacterium
Lineage: Bacteria
Description: partial 16S ribosomal RNA
Rfam family: Bacterial small subunit ribosomal RNA
Source: RNAcentral